UUAAUUAUUCCAAAGAAAGGAGAGCCUUCACUGCUUGGCUGCAUGGUGGAUGUCAGGAUAAAUCAGCCAAUAAUCCAGCAGAGCUUUGCAAGGAUGCGGGAGUGGAGGCAAGCCAGGCCCAGCCCCUUCCUCCCUCUGCUCUGCAAAGCUGCCUGCCCCGGGGCUCUUUCCAUCUCGAAGACCUCAUUCCUGUGCCCCCAAUUAGCAGUCUGGGAAAUCAGACACAUUUACUGAGCGCCCACUUUGCUCCAGGCACCAGGCAGUUCUCGGGGAGAGGAAGAGAGAAUCGUCAAGAUUCCUGCCCUUAUGGCACGUUCGUGGCUGGUCUGCUGGACGUGAACCAAGAGCCAUUUGCUCCGGAGGCAAGAGUCGAGUCAGGCCCAGCUGGGCUUUCCCAUCCUUUAUGUGCCCGAUCCCAUUAAUAAUUAACGGGCAAACUGGUCCCAUUGAGCAGGGACGGGGUGGGCGUGAGACCCACACGGUGCAUCCAGGAGCUGACGUUCUGCAUGCACAGGCCCACUUACAGCAAAGAGCAGGGAUGAAGAUGGCCCCUACUCCAUCAGAGUGUUCCGGUGAGAAGAGAAGCGAAUGUGGGAGAAGCAGAAUUAAGGGACGGUCCCUAACAUUCGCUCCAGGAAAACACCACAAUGUGCCCAGGGUUUUAGCUACUCAUGAUGCUAUUCACUGCAGCAUUAUUUAUGAUGUCGCAACUUGGAAACCAGCUCCUCGUUCAAUAUUGGAGGAUUGGCUUCGACAAGUGUGAGCACAUCCACGCAACGGGGCCCAUGCCUGCUUCCCAAACUGGGGUGUGCCUCGGAACCCCCGGGAGCCCUGGGAAAAUGCAGGUUCUGGGGGUCCGGGGCUGAGAUCCUGCUCUUGUAAGAGCUGCUGGUUGGGGACGGCUCCCUGAGUAUAAGGGGGUGGGGCCCUUGGGCGGGUAGAAGUUCGGGGUCUGCUGGCGAUAGAAGAACCAGGUUGAUAACAGUGUGUUCUGGGGUCCCAUCCCAGGCUCAACGCAGAGCGCGUGUGGCUCACUCGGGACAAAGUCGGGAGGCUCGAAGCCGAGCGCUCGAAGUGCUUAUAGAGAGGGGAUGAAUUAUAGAUCGUCUCAAAUUUUCUCUUUGGUUUAUCUUAAUUUCAAAAUUAUCCACAAUUAACAUGUAUUACUUUUGUAAAUGGAGAAAA
RNAcentral lists this long non-coding RNA (1185 nucleotides) under Equus caballus (horse). Its description in RNAcentral is "lncRNA (ENSECAG00000041650.2)". The record is from RNAcentral. Lineage: Eukaryota; Metazoa; Chordata; Mammalia; Perissodactyla; Equidae.